This 264-nucleotide ribosomal RNA is filed under the name uncultured bacterium. Its description in RNAcentral is "partial 16S ribosomal RNA". It matches the Rfam family "Bacterial small subunit ribosomal RNA", at positions 793 to 1055 of the family's 1533-position model. The record is from RNAcentral.
GUCCACGCUGUAAACGAUGGGCACUAGGUGUCCGGGGUAUUGACCCCCUGGGUGCCGCAGCUAACGCAUUAAGUGCCCCGCCUGGGGAGUACGGUCGCAAGAUUAAAACUCAAAGGAAUUGACGGGGGCCCGCACAAGCGGUGGAGCAUGUGGUUCAAUUCGACGCAACGCGAAGAACCUUACCUGGGUUAGACAACGGUGGACAUCCCUAGAAAUAGGGUUUUCCCUCGGGGACUGCCGGUUCAGGUGCUGCAUGGCUGUCGU